GAUGAAGAACGUAGCGAAAUGCGAUAAGUAAUGUGAAUUGCAGAAUUCAGUGAAUCAUCGAAUCUUUGAACGCACCUUGCGCCCUUUGGCCAUUCCGAAGGGCAUGCCUGUUUGAGUAUCAUGAACACCUCAACUCUUUAUGGUUUUCCAUGAUGAGCUUGGACUCUGGGGGUUUUGCUGGCUCACAGUCGGCUCCUCUAAAAUGAAUCAGCUUACCAGUGUUUGGUGGGUAUCAUGGGUGUGAUAACUAUCUACGCUUGUGGUUUUUCCACCAGGUAACCUUCAGCAGUGGAGGUUCGCUGGGGCUCAUAAAUGUCUCUCUUCAGUGGAGACAGCUUUUUGGACGUUUGAUCUCAAAUCAGGUAGGACUACCCGCUGAACUUAAGCAUAUCAAUAAGCGGAGGA
This 405-nucleotide unclassified non-coding RNA is filed under the name soil metagenome. Its description in RNAcentral is "partial contains 5.8S ribosomal RNA, internal transcribed spacer 2, and large subunit ribosomal RNA". The stretch from base 1 to 121 matches the Rfam family "5.8S ribosomal RNA", at positions 35 to 154 of the family's 154-position model. The record is from RNAcentral.